This 1472-nucleotide long non-coding RNA is filed under the name Triticum aestivum (bread wheat). Its description in RNAcentral is "long non-coding RNA (TAES_LNC017043)". The record is from RNAcentral. Lineage: Eukaryota; Viridiplantae; Streptophyta; Magnoliopsida; Poales; Poaceae.
AACAACACAGACAUGUAAUUUCCGGUCUGAAGAAAGACAUGUUGAUGCUUGGAUGUUGGACGUGUUCUGAUGGUUUGAUUGAUGUUUGCUGAAUGCUUGUUGAUGUCGUUGGUUGUGAGAACUGAAUUCUGCACCGAGCUGUUCCUUCGGAGUGAAAUGGCAGAGUUGCCUCGAGGUAUCUAAGGUAAGCUUUCUUGGACUGAACCUUUCAUGGAAGAUACAUCAGUUCAAUCCAAUCUCUUGUGACAUUUUGCCCCACUUCAUGAAAACUAAGAUUGUUGUUCUUGCUCCUAUGAACAUCUACUUGAUAAUAUAAUAUGUCAUGAACCUAGUGUCACUAUCAUUUAGCACUCCCUCAUUUUGUUGUAGUACGGCUAACAAAUCAAAUCAAAUCUGCCAAGGUUUUUGGUGGUGCCGAGUUAUUACAUAUGACAGAAUCUGUCUAGUCUACAUGUUUGAAUCUGUCUAGAAAAAUCUGUCAAUUCUGUCUAAACUGUGUGUCUGAAUUUGGCCAGGUCAGCAAUGUACUUGGCUCCUUUACAUUACCUAAUGAAAUGGAAUAGUGUACGAAUGGUAGCUUUCUCUUGGUUUGGACUGUGGAUUCAUUCACCUUACUCUAGUUGAUCCCAUCUUUCUUCAAACUGCAGAUGCCAUGCUAAACAGCAGCGCUGCCUCCCUACAAAUACAAUGCAAAACAGUACUACUCAUACAAUUGUCUUGCCCCAUAACUUAUUUGUGCCCUGAAGCUCCUGGCAAAAAACUCGCACUAUUUUAUUUUUUCAGAUGAACAAAACUCCAGUAGUAAUUAAGUGGUUAAUUCUCCUACUGUUCUGCAGCUCCAAUAAACAAAACAACAAACAUUUCCUUAGCCUUAGACAGAUCUGCACAUAUUUUGCAAUUUAAGCAUUCAGUACAUUUCCAGUAAUCUUACUCUGUUCAUUGUUAUUCAGUGUGGCUUGUAAGGCUGGACUGCGCAAAUACAGAAAUACCAACAUAGGUCAUCUCAUGGUUGUGUGCCUUGAGGCGAACCUACACAUACACACAACCCCAUUUGCAGUAUUUAUAACAACUCAACUUUAUCUCUCCCGAACUCCUAUAUUUAUUUUAAAUCUGGGACUACUUCGUUCCACUCCUAUAUAUAAUACAUAGGCAUCAGGCGGUUUGCUGUUGGCAAAGUGUGGCGAUGUUUUCAUGUAUUUGUAUGGGUGUUGUGGCUUACAUAGUUGCAGUGGUUUUUUCAUAUUGUAGCUCACUCUGCUGCAUCUGCUCAAGAUUAUCUGUUGGCUGUUACUUUAUUUUACUUUAUUUUGUUUUCUAAAGAUAUGUUUGGCCUGCUGUAUAACUUGCGUGACCUGAUUCUAUGUUUCACAUGUACGUAUAGUCUGCAAGAAAGCUAGCUGACUCCUUUCUCCUUUUUCUUUUUGUCGGUAAGUAACUCUUUUUUUCCUGAAACUGAACGGUAGCUAAACUGG